Molecule: unclassified non-coding RNA, 400 nt
Filed under: uncultured Ascomycota
Lineage: Eukaryota; Fungi; Ascomycota
Description: sequence contains ITS1
Rfam family: 5.8S ribosomal RNA (bases 1-105)
Source: RNAcentral
GAAUUGCGAUAAGUAAUGUGAAUUGCAGAAUUCAGUGAAUCAUCAAAUCUUUGAACGCACAUUGCGCUUUCCGGUAUUCCGGUAAGCAUGCCUGUUUGAGAAUCGAUAAUCUCUCACAAUGCUAUCUGGACUGGGAUAACAUCUAACGAUGUGACCCCAUGUCCUUUGCAUGGUGGAUUUGGAACACUUGCUUUUACGGCAACGUUCUCAAAAUGAAUGUUUUGACCAUUUGCUUGCUGAGGCGAUCUGGGUCUAUAUGAGUGCAUGAGUAGGUUAGGUCCUUUAUGAUUUCACUCAUUCCUAGGUUACCUUCUUCAGUAAGUGUGGGCAACUCCAGUUCUAAACUCAGUUCAAAGUUCCGUAUGGGAUUGGAACUGAAAACUUGGUCUCAAAUCAGGUA